RNAcentral lists this small RNA (93 nucleotides) under Salmonella enterica subsp. enterica serovar Heidelberg. RNAcentral's name for it is "partial RtT sRNA". It matches the Rfam family "RtT RNA", at positions 1 to 92 of the family's 130-position model. Rfam says of the family: This family represents a bacterial cis-regulatory element known as RtT RNA. RNAcentral also lists the same sequence under 5 other names. The record is from RNAcentral. Lineage: Bacteria; Pseudomonadati; Pseudomonadota; Gammaproteobacteria; Enterobacterales; Enterobacteriaceae.
AUAUCUCUCUGUACGGGAAGGAUGAGAAGCUUCUACCAGGGUUCGAUUCGAGCGCAGCGAGAAAGCGUUGCCGCAGGCAACGACCCGAAGGGC